This 303-nucleotide small nuclear RNA is filed under the name Jaculus jaculus (lesser Egyptian jerboa). Its description in RNAcentral is "7SK RNA (ENSJJAG00000003798.1)". It matches the Rfam family "7SK RNA". Rfam says of the family: 7SK was discovered as an abundant small nuclear RNA in the mid-70s but a possible function has only recently been suggested. Two independent studies have found that 7SK RNA binds the CDK9/cyclin T complex (known as elongation factor P-TEFb). P-TEFb activates transcription by phosphorylating the C-terminal domain of RNA polymerase II. The record is from Rfam by way of RNAcentral. Lineage: Eukaryota; Metazoa; Chordata; Mammalia; Rodentia; Dipodidae.
GGAUGUGAGGGCGAUCUGGCUGCGACAUCUGUCACCCCAUUGAUCGCCAGGGUUGAUUUGGCUGAUCUGGCUGGCUAGGCGGGUGUCCCCUUCCUCCCUCACCGCUCCAUGUGUGUCCCUCCCGAAGCUGCGCACUCGGUCGAAGAGGACGACCUUCCCCGAAUAGAGGAGGACCGGUCUUUGGUCAAGGGUAUACGAGUAGCUGCGCUCCUCUGCUAGAACCUCCAAACAAGCUCUCAAGAAAAAUCUUUGGGUGAACUUCUGCCCAUUCAGCUGCAAUUGAGAGAUUACAAUCAUUGAGAU